UAGCUAGUUGGUGGGGUAAGGGCCUACCAAGGCGACGAUCGGUAGCUGGUCUGAGAGGAUGGCCAGCCACACUGGAACUGAGACACGGUCCAGACUCCUACGGGAGGCAGCAGUGGGGAAUAUUGGACGAUGGGGGAAACCCUGAUCCAGCAAUGCCGCGUGUGUGAAGAAGGCCUGAGGGUUGUAAAGCACUUUCAGUGGGGAGGAGGAUUGAUUGGUUAAGAGCUGAUUGAUUGGACGUUACCCACAGAAGAAGCACCGGCUAACUCCGUGCCAGCAGCCGCGGUAAUACGGAGGGUGCGAGCGUUAAUCGGAAUUACUGGGCGUAAAGGGUGCGUAGGUGGUUGUAUAAGUUAUCUGUGAAAUCCCUGGGCUUAACCUGGGCAGGUCAGAUAAUACUGUAUGACUCGAGUAUGGGAGAGGGUAGUGGAAUUUCCGGUGUAGCGGUGAAAUGCGUAGAGAUCGGAAGGAACACCAGUGGCGAAGGCGGCUACCUGGCCUAAUACUGACACUGAGGCACGAAAGCGUGGGGAGCAAACAGGAUUAGAUACCCUGGUAGUCCACGCUGUAAACGAUGUCAACUAGCUGUUGGUUAUAUAAAAAUAAUUAGUGGCGC
Molecule: ribosomal RNA, 616 nt
Filed under: uncultured Legionella sp.
Lineage: Bacteria; Pseudomonadati; Pseudomonadota; Gammaproteobacteria; Legionellales; Legionellaceae
Description: bacterial SSU rRNA
Rfam family: Bacterial small subunit ribosomal RNA
Source: RNAcentral